GGGCUGGGGCUCAGUGGGAGAGCACUUGCCUAGCAUGUGGGAGGCACUGGGUUCAAUCCUCAGCACCACA
RNAcentral lists this transfer RNA (70 nucleotides) under Marmota monax (woodchuck). Its description in RNAcentral is "tRNA.Ala". Lineage: Eukaryota; Metazoa; Chordata; Mammalia; Rodentia; Sciuridae. The record is from RNAcentral.